RNAcentral lists this transfer RNA (61 nucleotides) under Phrynocephalus helioscopus (sunwatcher toadhead agama). RNAcentral describes it as "tRNA-Cys". The record is from RNAcentral. Lineage: Eukaryota; Metazoa; Chordata; Lepidosauria; Squamata; Agamidae.
GGCCUGAAGAAUAGUGCCAAAUUGCAAGUUUGGUUUUGAAAAUGUAAAUUUUCGUAGGUCU